RNAcentral lists this ribosomal RNA (1045 nucleotides) under Gamsomyces longisporus. RNAcentral's name for it is "SSU rRNA". It matches the Rfam family "Eukaryotic small subunit ribosomal RNA", at positions 56 to 1111 of the family's 1831-position model. Lineage: Eukaryota; Fungi; Ascomycota; Eurotiomycetes; Sclerococcales. The record is from RNAcentral.
AGUCUAAGUAUAAGCAAUCAUACUGUGAAACUGCGAAUGGCUCAUUAAAUCAGUUAUAAUUUAUUUGAUAGUACCUUUUCACAUGGAUAACUGUGGUAAUUCUAGAGCUAAUACAUGCUAAAAACCUCGACUUCGGAAGGGGUGUAUUUAUUAGACUAAAAACCAAUGCCCUUCGGGGCUCCUUGGUGAUUCAUGAUAACUUAUCGAAUCGCAUGGCCUUGCGCCGGCGAUGGUUCAUUCAAAUUUCUGCCCUAUCAACUUUCGAUGGUAAGAUAGAGGCUUACCAUGGUGUCGACGGGUAACGGGGAAUUAGGGUUCGAUUCCGGAGAGGGAGCCUGAGAAACGGCUACCACAUCCAAGGAAGGCAGCAGGCGCGCAAAUUACCCAAUCCCAAUCCGGGGAGGUAGUGACGAUAAAUACUGAUGCAGAGCUCUUUUGGGUUUUGCAAUUGGAAUGAGUACAAUCUAAAUCCCUUAACGAGGAACAAUUGGAGGGCAAGUCUGGUGCCAGCAGCCGCGGUAAUUCCAGCUCCAAUAGCGUAUAUUAAAGUUGUUGCGGUUAAAAAGCUCGUAGUUGAACCUUGGGUUUGGCUGGCCGGUCCGCCUCACCGCGUGUACUGGUCCGGCCGAACCUUUCCUUCUGGGGAAUCUCAUGCCCUUCACUGGGUGUGUUGGGGAACCAGGACUUUUACUUUGAAAAAAUUAGAGUGUUCAAAGCAGGCCUAUGCUCGAAUACAUUAGCAUGGAAUAAUAGAAUAGGACGGCAGUUCUAUUUUGUUGGUUUCUAGGACCGCCGUAAUGAUUAAUAGGGAUAGUCGGGGGCAUCAGUAUUGAAUUGUCAGAGGUGAAAUUCUUGGAUUUAUUCAAGACUAACUACUGCGAAAGCAUUUGCCAAGGAUGUUUUCAUUAAUCAGUGAACGAAAGUUAGGGGAUCGAAGACGAUCAGAUACCGUCGUAGUCUUAACCAUAAACUAUGCCAACUAGCGAUCGGAUGGUGUUUUAUUUUUGACCCAUUCGGCAGCUUGUGAGAAAUCAAAGUUUUCGGG